This 90-nucleotide transfer RNA is filed under the name Thermoproteota archaeon. RNAcentral describes it as "Crenarchaeota archaeon (anaerobic digester metagenome) tRNA-Ser". It matches the Rfam family "tRNA". Rfam says of the family: Transfer RNA (tRNA) molecules are approximately 80 nucleotides in length. Their secondary structure includes four short double-helical elements and three loops (D, anti-codon, and T loops). Further hydrogen bonds mediate the characteristic L-shaped molecular structure. tRNAs have two regions of fundamental functional importance: the anti-codon, which is responsible for specific mRNA codon recognition, and the 3' end, to which the tRNAs corresponding amino acid is attached (by aminoacyl-tRNA synthetases). tRNAs cope with the degeneracy of the genetic code in two manners: having more than one tRNA (with a specific anti-codon) for a particular amino acid; and 'wobble' base-pairing, i.e. permitting non-standard base-pairing at the 3rd anti-codon position. Lineage: Archaea; Thermoproteati; Thermoproteota. The record is from RNAcentral.
GGAGAGAUGGCCGAGUGGCUUAAGGUACUCGCUUGGAAAGCGAGCGUAUGUGAAAGCAUACCGCGGGUUCGAAUCCCGCUUUCUCCGCCA